CAUAGCGACUAUCGUGGCAUAUCAAUAAGCGGAGGAAAAGAAACUAACUAGGAUUCCCUUAGUAACGGCGAGUGAAGCGGGAAGAGCUCAAAUUUGAAAUCUUCAAGGUUUUACCUUGACGAAUUGUAGUUUAAAGAAGUGUUUUCUGUUGGAGUUUUGGUAAAAGUUCUUUGGAAUAGGACAUCAUAGAGGGUGAGAAUCCCGUAUUUGGUCAUUCUUCCUAGCGUUGUGAUACACUUUCAACGAGUCGGAUUGUUUGGGAAUGCAGUCCAAAAUGGGUGGUAAAUUUCAUCUAAAGCUAAAUAUUGGCGAGAGACCGAUAGCGAACAAGUACCGUGAGGGAAAGAUGAAAAGAACUUUGAAAAGAGAGUUAAACAGUACGUGAAAUUGUCAAAAGGGAAGCGUUUGACACCAGUGUUGUUUUCUCGAAAAUCAAUUACGAAUGUUUUAUUUUUGAGGAGUUGUGACUUCAUCGGCUUGCUUCUCUCUUUAUGAAACUUUCUUAAUGCACUUUUCGGUUAACAAGUCAACAUCAAUUUCUUUUGUUGUAAAAGGGUAUGAGGAAGGUGGCUUUCUUUUCGGAGAAAGUGUUUAUAGCCUUGUACCUCUGCAAUCGGAGAGAUUGAGGUCUGCAGCGUAGAUCCUUCGGGGUUAGAUACAUUUGUGCUAAGUUAUAGCUUUUCAUAGACAACUUGUUGACUAUGUUAAGUCUUGUAGCUUACUCGCUUAUGCUAUUUUACCUACGCUUAGGAUGUUGACGAGACUGUCGAUCUC
Molecule: ribosomal RNA, 774 nt
Filed under: uncultured Neocallimastigales
Lineage: Eukaryota; Fungi; Neocallimastigomycota; Neocallimastigomycetes; Neocallimastigales
Description: partial large subunit ribosomal RNA
Rfam family: Eukaryotic large subunit ribosomal RNA
Source: RNAcentral